UUCCUGCUAGUUGAAGUAGCACAACGGCGGCUUUUCAGGUCGCAGGUCUUGGAGAGAAGCCAAGCUGGAAU
Molecule: transfer RNA, 71 nt
Filed under: Locustella pryeri pryeri
Lineage: Eukaryota; Metazoa; Chordata; Aves; Passeriformes; Locustellidae
Description: tRNA-Glu
Source: RNAcentral